Long non-coding RNA from Alosa alosa (allis shad), 1571 nucleotides. RefSeq lists it as uncharacterized. Lineage: Eukaryota; Metazoa; Chordata; Actinopteri; Clupeiformes; Clupeidae. The record is from RefSeq and is a predicted model, not a curated record. The transcript has 2 exons.
AAGAGAGAGAAAGUGAGUGAGAGAGAGAGAAAGAGUGAGUGUGUGAGAGAGUGAGAGAGAUAAAGAGUUAAUGAGAGAGAAAAAGAGAGUGAAAAAGAGAGAGUGAGUGAGAGAGAAAGGAGUGCAGGGUAUCCACCCAUCCCACGUCUCUUCUGCCAUAGCAGCACACUCACUGCUCUCACUAACACCCACGGGUGUCUUACCCCUGCCCUACCACCCUACACAGGCCCUCUACCACCCCACAUGGGCGCAGGUGUCUUACCCAUGCUCUACCACCCCACAUAGGCCCUCUACCACUCCACAUGGGCACAGGUGUCUUACCCGUGCUCUACCACCCCACAUGGGCACAGGUGUCUUACCCGUGCUCUACCACCCCACAUGGGCCUUCUUCCUUUGCGCUGGCGUGUGUUGCUGAUAUGGGCAGCGUGUUAUAAUGCCGUGCUGAUGGCGUUGUAGGAAAGCAAAGAGAAUCACAGGCUGCAAAUUGGCCAUCUGGUGUUUAUGAAUGACGAUGAACAACACUGACGAGAAAUAUCUCUUAGUUUGUUAUGACAGACAGAAAGCCGUGUUGGGGUUUUGACGCGUUAGUUAUUAUUCCACAGGGUUUUACUUGACACGUUACUUGACACGUUCAUUCAGACAUCACGAUUAAAGAAGCACGAGGAACAAGAUGGCUGACGUGUCUGAAGUUUAAGUGAAUAAGAUUUAGAUCAUCCCGUUUGGACAUCUCCAUCGCAGUGUGCAUUCAGCCCACGGAACAGAUGAUAGGUGCUACUUAAGUUUUCACCAAAUAGAUUUCUACAUUUGGGUUAAAUAAUUAAUGACUAUUUGACGCAGGGGCUAGCUUGGACUAUUUCUCUUUUUCACAAGAAGACCAGACAUCAUCUACCAUUACUCACACACCCUCCUCCAAGGCAAGUGGCAGAGCAGGGAACACACACACACACACACACACACACACUGGUUUAUCAGCACAGAGGGAACAUCAGAAUCCGGACUGAAACCAGUUCUGACUCGAAUCCUAACCAGAGCCACACUGGAUUUGGCGCUCAAUCAGAGACAUCUCUUUCACACUCAAACCUGUGUUUAUAUGUGUGUGUGUGCGUUUAGAUGACUGCGUUGACCUGGGUUAUUUGACAUGGUCACUAGGUUAAUGUUUGUUAGUCACUCAUCAAUACUGUUCACUUGAAUGUUUGUUGAUUGUGGACUUCCAUGUAGCAUGCCAUCAGCACGUACUGUAAGUGAGUGUGUGGGUAUGUGUGUUUACGUGUGUGGGUGCGCGUGUUUAUGUGUGUGGGGUGCGUGUGUUUAUGGGCGUGUGUGUUUAUGGGUGUGUGUGUGUGCGUGUGUUUAUGGGUGUGCGGGUGCAUCUGUUUAUGUGUGUGUGUGUGUAAGGGAAGUAAUUAUGAUUCCUGGUGCAUUCUCCUUCACUGCUGCUACAUGUGUCAGUUCUUUAGUUGUCUACGCUGUUUGUCAUUUAGAGAUAACCAUAAUCUGUACAAUACCCACAGGAAGUUUCCAUUUUUCUCCAAAAUAAAUCUUUUGAAAUAAAUUCAGGAGCUCAACGAGAA